CCCGCUGAACUUAAGCAUAUCAGUAAGCGGAGGAAAAGAAACUAACAAGGAUUGCCUCAGUAGCGGCGAGUGAACCGGCAAAAGCUCAAAGUUAAAAUCUGCAGCACAGAGUUGUAGAAUUGUAAUCUUGAGGUGUUUUCGGAAGGCAUGAGUGCAGCAUAAGUUCCCUGAAAUAGGGCGCCAAAGAGGGUGAAAGCCCCGUAGUCGGCGGCACUCGGCUGUACGAAGAUAACCGCAGAGUCGGGUUGUUUGGGAAUGCAGCCCUAAAUGGGAGAUAAACUUCUUCUAAAGCUAAAUACAAACGGGAAACCGAUAGCGAACAAGUACUGCGAAGGAAAGAUGAAAAGAACUUUGAAAAGAGGGUUAAAAGACUUGAAACCGUUGAGAAGGAAGCGGUAGAAGAGCAAUUAAUUGACGGCGCUGUUGGGACGAGAGCAUGCCAACUGGGGAGUGGAAAGGACUUCAAAAGCCGUCCACCUCUAAGUGAAGCAGGCUCCGAACCUCCUUCGCCGCCAAAAGGCAAAAUGAGGUCUCCGCUGCCGGAAUCACUGUCCAUUAGACCCCGGUUACACUGGAAAAUGGAACAGAAAACGAGCAACGAGGCCUGAGGGUUACCUAGUGAGAUUUUGCCAAAAUGGCUUCUACUGACCCGUCUUGAAACACGG
RNAcentral lists this ribosomal RNA (665 nucleotides) under uncultured fungus. RNAcentral's name for it is "eukaryotic LSU rRNA". It matches the Rfam family "Eukaryotic large subunit ribosomal RNA", at positions 24 to 664 of the family's 3401-position model. The record is from RNAcentral. Lineage: Eukaryota; Fungi.